Long non-coding RNA from Pseudopodoces humilis (Tibetan ground-tit), 436 nucleotides. RefSeq lists it as uncharacterized. The record is from RefSeq and is a predicted model, not a curated record. NCBI's taxonomy places the organism in Eukaryota, Metazoa, Chordata, Aves, Passeriformes, Paridae.
GAAACACGGGAGGCAACAACUUUGAUGUUCAGAGAAAUCACUUGGCACUGAGAAAUGACCAAUGACUUGUUACAACAAGGACAGUACAGACCUCUGAGGGACAUCGCUUGUCACUGAUCUCCGUUUGGACAUGGAACAUCUAUGAUACCAUUGAGCUGUCAACCACCACCCUCCGGAUGUGACUACCCAACCAAUUCCUCAUCUGCCAAACAGUUCAUCCAUCAAAUCCAUUCCUCUCCAAUUUUGAGUUCUCAUUUUCAGCUGUUACCUGGCAUGAAUUUGCACAGAAGAACCUCCCCUGUCAUCAGAAGCCAGAAAAAUCCAUUCAGAUUAGGAGACGGAAGGAGAUUUAGAAAGAGAGUCUCUGUUGGAUCAUGCUUGUGCCUUCACAAAAGCCAUAUUUUUAUUAUGCCCUUACAUAACCUGUCCCCUGUUU